UUGUAUGAUUGGAUGUGUAGUCCCAUGUGUUGUUUGUGAUUAAAGCUAGGAUGCUAGAAAGAAGUGAAUGCUAAGAUGAUAGAUGACUACUGAUUGUUAUUGUUACUGUAAGUGAAACCUGAGUGUGAUGUGUAUUGUGUGUGACACCGAUAACGGGUGGCGUCUAGUGAAUGAGUUCAAGUACGAUUCUAAGUGUAAAGGAAAGUGAAUGAGAAUGAGAAUGGAUAAGUGAAAGUGAAUAAGGAUGUGAAAGGAUAAGUGAAUGUAUAAGUGAAUAACGUUAAGGUUAAUCAUGGGUUGGGAAAUCAUAUAGAGUCUAGAGGGAGUACGUGGGGUAGUAGUUCUAUGCUAGGCAUCCAUAGGAGCUAUGGUGGAAUCCACAAGAAUAUGGAGGCACCCAUAGGAGCUGUGGUGGAAUCCACAAGAAUAUGGGGUAGAAGUCUAGCGAGAGCUACCCACGGAGAAAAGAGAAAAGAUGAGCCAGCCGCGAGAGGCGUGAUAUAAAAACGUGCAUUGUAGAGUAUUUAGUUCAUGGUCGGGUAUCUGGGUGUUAAAGGUGUCAUAAGAUUGAGUCGGUAUUGUAUGUCGAGUC
Molecule: long non-coding RNA, 592 nt
Filed under: Brassica napus (rape)
Lineage: Eukaryota; Viridiplantae; Streptophyta; Magnoliopsida; Brassicales; Brassicaceae
Description: long non-coding RNA (BNAP_LNC009958)
Source: RNAcentral